AUCUUUCUAGGAUUCAUUUGCCAACAUAGAACCGAGUCAUCGGCAAAUUGUAUAUCUACGAUAUACAGAGUGAAAUAUCAAAACAUAUAUAAAACGAAAGAAAUGUGGCGACACUCAUCGUUAUUGGUCAUUGUUGCGUUGGCCUUACAAGCUCAAGCAUUAAUUCAUUCACCACCACGAAUCAUCAAACAACCCCCAACAGACGAAUUGCUCUUCCAGGUAGCACAACAGGCUAAUGAGAACGACAAACCAUUUAUUGUAGAAUGUGAAGCUGAGGGUGAACCGGCUCCAAAAUACCGAUGGAUAAAGAACGGCAAGAAAUUCGACUGGCAAGCAUAUGAUGACCGAAUGUCCCAACAGCCCGGCCGCGGUACAUUAGUCAUAACCUCACCGCGUGACGAAGAUUUGGGUCAAUAUCAGUGUUUCGCCGAAAACGAACACGGUGUGGCUACAUCAAAUUCAGUGUUCGUACGCAAAGCCGAAUUAAAUUCGUUUAAGGACGAACUUCCGAAAACGCUCACUGCCAACGAAGGUGAUCCGUUUAAGUUACAGUGUCAACCGCCAGAUGGUUGGCCGAAACCAAAUGUUUAUUGGUUGAUUCAAAGCACGGAUGGCGGCAUCAGAAGUAUUAACAAUUCUCGAAUGACCUUGGAUCCAGAAGGAAAUUUAUGGUUUUCCAAUGUGACACACAACGAUGCAUCGAACGAUUUCUACUAUGCGUGUUCGGCGACAUCGGUAUUCCGAAACGAAUAUAAACUGGGCAAUCGUGUACUGUUAGACGUUGUCCAAACGGGCAUAUCUCCAACUCAGAAUAGACACGCACCGGUUCGUCAAUACGUAACAAGGAAAAAUGAAGUGGCACUGCGUGGAAAACGAGUCGAACUGUACUGCAUUUACGGUGGUACGCCGCUUCCGCAGAUAUUAUGGUCUAAAGAUGGUCGAGCUAUAAAUUGGGGUGAUCGCAUAACGCAAGGCAAUUAUGGUAAAUCGUUGAUUAUACGGCAUGCAACAUUCGAAGACGCUGGUAGUUAUACUUGUGAAUCGUCGAACGGUGUCGGAAACGCUCAAUCGUAUUCCAUCAAAUUGGAGGUAUUGGCUGUUCCCUACUUUACAAUUGAGCCAGAAAUUCAAAAUGCUGCCGAAGAUGAAACUGUUGAGUUCCGUUGCGCUGCUACUGGCUUCCCAGAGCCCACCAUUAAAUGGAUACACAAUGGAAAGCCAAUUGCUGAAUCACCAGCGAAUGAUCGAAGAACAGUGAGCACAAAUAGCAUUGUCAUCAAGAAAUUGAACAAAAAGGAUACGGGAAAUUACGGUUGUAACGCAACCAACUCACUGGGCUAUGUGUACAAAGAUGUCUACUUGAAUGUGUUAGCACUGCCACCAGAGAUCACCGAGCCACCGCGCCAAGAAGCUACCGUCGAUGGACGAACUGUAUCGAUGAUUUGCCGUGUGUUCGGCGCACCGAAACCUGAAGUGAAAUGGAUCCGUAACGGUUUGGAAUUGACCGGUGGACGAUACAAAACACAAGAGAAUGGCGAUUUGUUGAUCACACAAGUGGGUUUCGCCGAUGCCGGCGAUUACACGUGUCAUGCUGAAAACAAAUUUGGCACAAAGGAAGCGAGUGGUAGUUUGAUUGUGAAAGAACAUACUCGUAUCACCGACGAGCCACAAGACUAUGAAGUGGCAGCCGGUAAUCCAGCCACAUUCCGCUGUAAUGCCGUUGCUGAUUCGUCACUGGAUCUGCAGAUAAAAUGGUUGAACGAUGGCGAAGAAAUUGACUUUGAAAAUGAGCCACGUUUUGUACGCACAAAUGACUAUUCUCUGACUAUCUCUAAGACUGCCGAACUCGAUUCGGGUAUUUAUAUUUGUGUGGCUAGCACUGAAUUGGAUGAAGCCCGAGCUCAAGCUACAUUGAUCGUUCAAGAUGUGCCAAAUCCACCAAGACUGAAAGGAGUACGUUGUAAUUCUCAUGAUGCUGCCGUUACAUGGGAACCGUUAGGCGACAAUCGUGCUCCCAUUUUGCACUACACCAUCCAAUACAAUACCUCAUUCACACCAGAUAGUUGGGAAGUAGCCUUCGAUAAAGUACCCGCAACCGAUUUUACAUACACCGUUGCAAUGAGCCCGUGGGCCAAUUAUACAUUCCGAAUUUUAGCUUUUAAUAAAAUUGGACCAUCACUUCCGUCCGGACACAGCGAACAAUGCUCAACUCAACCAGACGUUCCAUAUAAAAAUCCAGAUAAUGUUGAGGGUAAAGGUAACGAACCUACCAAUUUGAUCAUAUCGUGGACACAUAUGCCAGAAAUCGAGCACAAUGCUGCACACUUCCAGUAUCGCGUUUACUGGAAACGUGACAUACCGGCUGAGAAAUGGAAUACCGAAGAUAUUUGGGAUUGGGAACAGUCGAACAUUUUAAUCAGAGAUCAGCCGACGUUCCAACGGUACCGAAUCAAGGUGGUUGCAAUUAACGAAAUGGGAGAGUCAAAUAUGGCAGCCAAAGAAGUGAUUGGAUAUUCGGGCGAAGAUCGGCCGACGCAGGCACCAACGAACUUCACCAUGUUGCAAGUGACCGGCAGCACAUCAGCAGUUCUUAGCUGGAAUCCAGUACCGAACGAAAGUGUACGAGGCCAUUUUAAGGGCUACAAAAUUCAGACGUGGACAGAACAGGAUGGUGAUGAAAACUACCGUGAAAUCCACGUUAAAGGUGAUUCCAGUCAGGCAUUGGUGACCAAAUUCACACCAGACGCAAACAAUUUUGCCAGAGUAUUGGUAUACAAUAGCCGAUAUAAUGGACCGCCGAGUGCAGUUAUUGACUUCAGGACACCAGAAGGUGUGCCCAGCAGUGUACAAACAUUUGAAGCAUAUCCAUUGGGUUCGUCGGCGUUCUGGUUGACAUGGAAGAAACCAUUGCAACCCAAUGGUCAACUGACCGGUUACAAGAUCUACUACGAAAUGGUGAAUGGAACCAGAUUGGAAGCGAAACAAGAACGUGAACCACACAUUAAUGAUCCACGUAUUACCGGAGCGAAACUAGCUGGAUUAGCACACAGUACAAAAUACCGAAUCCAUAUCGCUGCCACCACAAAGGCUGGUGAGGGUGAAGACUAUUUCAUCGAACAAAAAACUUUGUCUGGACUUUCCGUACCACCAGAUGUUCCCUAUUUCACAACCGAACAUUUGCCCACUGAGAAUGGAUACGCCAAUGUAUUGAUCACGUGGAAGCCGAAUUUAGACGGCAAACCCGGCUCACAUUUCUUCGUCAAAUAUCGCAUUAAAGGCGAAAGUGUAUGGAUAAAAACCGAUCCUGAAUUGCAAGAAAAUUGGUUGGUUGUGCGACCAUUGGAACCAGACUCGACUUACGAAUUUGUCGUCGUUGCUGUCGAUGGCGAGUAUUUGACCGAAAGUCCAAUCGAAGAAGUUAGCACUUCUGGAAGCGAAUCCAUAUUAAAAGUGCCAAGCGAAAAUGUAGCGACAGCCGGUUGGUUCAUUGGCAUGAUGUUGGCUAUUGUAUUCCUGUUGUUGCUUUUAAUUUUAAUCUGCAUAAUCAAACGCAACCGCGGUGGCAAAUACGAUGUUCAUGACCGUGAACUGGCCAAUGGUCGGCGAGACUACAACGACGAAGGUGGAUUCCAUGAAUACUCACAGCCUUUGGACAACAAAAGCGCAGGACGGCAAUCGGUGGCAUCAAAUUUAACGAAACCUGAUCACGAAGACGACGCCGAUUCUAUGGCUGAAUAUGGUGAAGGAGAUACAGGUCAAUUUACGGAGGAAGGCUCAUUCAUCGGACAGUAUGGCAAGAAGGGAAAGCCUUCUUCGAAUUCACAAGCGUUCGCAACGCUUGUAUAACAAAACGCUCGACAUAACUUUUUACAUAAUUUUUUUUCAACGUUUUUAUCAUUUUGUUUUUUAAAAAAAAUUUACCUACCACUGCUUUGAUGUUUUCUUGCUAAUAUUGAAUUGAGGUCAAUUCACCGAAGACGGCUCGUUUAUUGGUCAAUACGUACCUGGUAAACCGCAACAACCGGUCAGUCCUCAACCGACUCCACAUAAUUCAACGCAACAGCCGGGCGCCAGCUCCGUUGCUACGUACGUAUAAAUGAACACAAUUAUUGAAACAGAAAAAGUGAAAAUUAAACGGAACAGAAAAUUGAGUUUAAAAAAAAAGAGAGAUGAAGGAAAAGAAAAGUAAAAUACAAAUGGAGCGUUUGAAUGUUUACGUAAAGAGACAUUUCAAUCGGACUAGAGUUUCUUUUAAAAUUAAAUAAUGAAAAAGUUUUCUUUGUUUUCUUUAAAAUCCGAGUAACGUAAUGAAAUGAAUCUCAAAACACAUGAGAUUCUUUCUCUCAUUUUAUCUUUUAAUUAGAAAUUUUAUAACAACUGAAUCUGAAUUAAGAAAUUACGAGAAAUGAUCGAUGGAUAUCCUGUUGAUCGGAUUCAUAAAUUAUAAUUUUUCUUUUGAUGGUCAUUUUAUGGAAAAUAUUUAUAAAGAAAAAUUGAGGAAGGAAAAAUUAAUUUUAAAAAAAUUAUAAUUAAUCUCUCAAACUUUAAGUGUAUUUGAAAAAUAUGCUUUCAGUGUGUGAUUUUUAAAGAAAAGAAACAAAAAAAAAUUGAAAAAAAAAUUCUUUUUUAAAAAAACAAACUAUGAAAACUACAUAUAUUCUGCUUAGCCGAUGAAAAAAUGAGGAGUCACUGUCUUGUUUUUAAAUUUUUUUAUUUUUCUUUAAUUUCAAAAAUCUAAUUCACGCAUUAAAUUAUUGACAAAAAAUGGAAAAAAUGUAUUUGAUAAUUUUUAAAUUAUUGUCGCGACUUUGUUGUUAUAAAAUAUUAACGUAUUAUUCACAUGUUCUGUCUUAUUAUUAUAAAAAAAUCGUUUUGUAUUUUGCCUUAGAUGAUUUUUAAAUAUAAAAAUAAAUAAAAAAGGAAAAAAAUGGUAAAGAAAAAUGAGUAGAAAAAAAUUUAAAAAAAAAUAUUUUUUUUAUUCAAAUGAUUGUGUUCAAGGAAAAACUACGGACUUUUUUUUCGUUUUUUACUGUUGUGAAAAUAAUUAAUUUUUCUGUUUUUCUAUUUUUUUUCUUUUCUAUUUUCGGUUUUUAACCGCAACAUUCAAGUAAUUCAAUCUUCAACCGAACAUUCAUCCCCCCAAAAUGUCACUUUUCUACUGUGUGAGCAUAAUAAUACAAAUUUAUUCUCACCGUCCUCCACUCUCCCCACGAGGGAGGAAUCAAUAUGCAUUCAUUCGUCCAACAAUUGUAUUGAUAUAUAAGAAACCAGCAUUUUGUAAUAACAUUGUCAUCGAUCAGACUUCAAUCCGAGGAAACACCGUAAAAUCACGAUGAACCAAGAAAUCAAUCGAAAAACCUAUUCAAAAUCAAUGUAACGAAAAAUUGAUUUUAAAAAAAUGUAACAACGAACCAUGUCAUCUACAGAGUAAUUACUGCAUUUGCUCUUGUUAGUCAUUGAAGAAAUGUAAUUCACAUUUCUCAUGACCGAUAAGAAUAAUUUGAUAAUCAGAACAUUGAAAUUUUGUCUAAUUUUUUCGAUUUCCAACUUUUGGAUGCGUUCACUUUCUUUAUCCAAAAGAAAUUUGAUUUGAUUCGAAAGAUCUGAAUUCGAUUAAAAUAUUACAGCCAAUUGAUCAAUUUUAAACACCUCUGUGUCCGUGGAUCGAAGUCUGAGUCGAAAUCAUUCAAAAGUACAAAACUUCAUUUAUUAUGUUCACUUUUUACGUCAUCCGUUGUAUCUAACGGUUUGACGAAAACAAUCAAUAAUAAUUCAGAGGCGGCUUUUUUUUGCAAACAAAUGAAAGUUUGACAUAAUGUUAUCCAAUGACAGCUUUAUCCCUAUCAAGAAGAUCCAUAGGAUCGAUGGGAUACAAAACUUAGGAUUUAUUUAUUUAUCAAUAUUUAUAUCAAUCAAUUUGUCGAAAGAACAGAAUCGUUGGCGCCUUUUCCCUCCCCUGUAAAACAUAGAACAUAGAUCCAAGAAAAGCUAAAAAGAAAAUUAUAAGAAGAAGAAAAGAACCAACUUCCGCUGUUGAUAUAUCAUCAAAUAAAAAUAAAAUCAUAAAUUGUUAUGCACAAAUCAAGUACGAAACUUCAGAAUGAAGUACCAGACGAGAAAAUUAAGUGAAAAGAAAAAAAGAAUUUAAUUUUUUUACAAAUCUAAUUUUUUUAAGGAAAUAAAUUUCGUUCUCUCUUUUUUUACGAUUUUACAAUAAUAGUUUUUAUAUUUAAAAAUUCAAUUGAACGGCCCUCGUUCAUUUUUAAUAUUAUUCAAAUGAUAAUUACAAUAUUUUUUGCGGUUAAUGAUCUGAGAACGUUCUUAAGUGUAAGUUUUUUUAUAUGUAAAAUAAAACACAAAGUAAAUAAAAUGCAAGCAAAUCACAUAUUUAAGGUUAUAUUUUAGUGCUUAAAUCAUUAAAAAAAAUAUUUUUUUUGUUAGAAAACAAAGUGUAGCCAGGUUUGUCGGUAGAGUUUUUUUUAAGUCCAAUUUGUGGAAUUUGUGGGAAAAAACUCUACCAAGAAACCUUUUACCUUGAAAUUUCCGUCUUCAUUUUUUUUUAAAUCACAUCGUAAGUUUUUAUUAUUUUUUAUUUAAUAGAAAACGAGAAGGAAGAAGGAUCUUAAAGAGCACAUUAAAUGUAAAUAAUGGUAAUGAUAAAAAAAACAACAAAGAAAAAGAAGAAGAAAAAACCAAUUUCCUAAUUACGAUUUUAUAAGUUUCUUCAUCGAAAAGUAAUUUUAUGGAAGCAAAUUAUGAAAUUGACUGGCAUGGAAAUGAUUUUAACCGGAACACUAAUUGUUGCCUUCAUUGCAAAAAAAAACAAAACGGUAAAAGAGAACUGGAUGAUGCUCAGGGUUCCGGUAUUCGGGCCGAUCGCGAUGUGUUUCUGAAAUCGUUUGCAGACUGGGCUCUUCUAUGAUAAUUUUAGUUCUGAAAAUUCCGAAAAAUUCCUAGGAAUAUUUUCAGAGUUUUUUUUUGGAAUCGUCACAAUUAAAAAUCCCAAAAUUAAGCCCUGCAGCCAGUAUAUACCUUCACGUGACUUUAGAAGUGACUUACGAAAGCCAAUGUCAAAAAUGACACAAUGUCAUCAUACAAUCCGCACACGCUUCGUUCGUCAACCUAAUUUCAUUCAAGUUGAUCUAGACACUAGUCGAAAAUAUAACGAAAAAUCAUGGAGGACACUACAGUACAUUCGGCAUUUUUUCUCUAUCAUCCUUCCAUUUACUCUGUUUGUUACAUUAAAGAAACGAAAACAUUUUCCAUUUGAUGUCGAAAACAGUCAAUCGGGCUCCAUGCAAUGCCUAUAUACCUAAUUAGGCCACCGAAAUAAUGUCUGAACUCGCAAUUGAUUAGAAAAAAUCUACCUGUUUGUUUGAAUGGAAAUUUGCCGACUUAGGAGAAAAGAUUGGAAUGAUAUGCUCUCCGCAGACUUCAAUUAGUGUUGGUUCAUUUUCAUAAUUUGGAAACCAUAAUUGAAAUUUCGAAAAGAUUUUUUGUUUAUUUCAAAAUGGGAUCGCACGUUUUUUUAAUGUAAUUUACCUGCAUGUCACGGAAAGAGGAAAUAAAAUUUGAAGGAAGAUAAACUGCAAAAGAAAGAAAACAAAUUAUAUCUAACUAUAACGCUGCUAAGACAUCAUCAUUUUUUUAGAUUUUUUUUUUCGUUUUGUUCAUAAUGCAUUUUUACACAUACACAAACAAAGGCGCAUGAAAGUAGAAAUUAGGAAGAAAAAAUUUAAUUAAUUUACCGAACGUAUCGACGAAAAUGCGAAUUAAUUCUGUUCUUCUUUCAAACAGUGAGAAGGACACAAGAUUUUUAAUAAAAUAAAAAAAAAAAAAACAGAGAAAAAUUGGAAUAAAUAAAUUUAAUUAUUUUUAGUUUACAAAAUUUCGUUUUAUUUUUCCUUUUUACUUUUAUAAUUUUGCCACCAAAAAUAGUAGAUUGUAUAUGCUGUGCAUGGGUGGAAUGGCGUUCGAUAUACACUUUUUUUGUUCUUUGUUGAUAUGGAGAAGAAAAAAAAAAUUGUUUCAAAAAUCCACGCAUGCGGAUAUUUUCAGCAGUGAUCAUCCGAAAUGACUAAAGUAUUCUACGUAUACCAUCAUGUCCCCAUACUGUUCAAUGAAAGUUUAGUGCUCUAGCUGGCAAAUUUGGUUUUAGUUGGUGUGAUCAAAUGGAAUCAAAUGAGUGCACACAAAAAAAACACAGUUGGUCUGGUGCAGGGUCGGACUGGCUACCAAAUGGCACAUCGGACAUUUGGCAACACGCUGAUCAGAAAGCGUAAAAAUUAAGUGACAGGCGCCAGUAUAAAAAUUUUAAUUGAUUAAACCAAAAGGCGCGACCGACCUUCCCCGAUUUCACCAUUAUCAGGGCGGAUCUGGUGUACCUAUACAAUUACCCACAAAGGUCCUAAAAUUUUUGGAGAAUUUCGAGAAAUUGGGAUUUUUUGAAAAUGGACACAAACAAGCGAUCGAAGUCCAUGGAAUUUCAAUGGAACUGAUUCGUUGAACACUUAAAAGGCUCACAUGCACAGAAGAGCCAGUUUAUUCAAUGGUAAAACCACUUACAACGAUAUCUAGUGAGCUGUAUACACGGUAGGUAUUUUAUAGUUCAGUACCAAUUUGGCAAUUUCUACCACAUAAGAAGUGUUGACAAAAUGCACCUCACAAGAAUGAACAUGCAAAACUAUAAAUGGUCCUAUAGAUCGCCGUAUACUGAUUCUGCUGCAGCUAUAUUUGAACAGGUAACAGACUUUUGUUUAAACGUAAAAAUUGCUUAUUUGCAUUCCCAUUAUCAAACAAUUCUACAUAGCGGACGGCUUUUCGCUUUUUCUUUAUUUUUAUAAUUCACAUUUUGCUUUUAAAUGUCGAUUAAGCUUGCGAAUAAUACAGGGUUUGAUAUUUAAUUUUUGUUAUGAUGAAUAGUUAUUUAUGAAUAUGGCAAAGAAUAGACGAAUAAAAUGUAAAUGAAAUAAUAAAUAAAUGGCAGAUGGAACGACGGUGAACGAUAAGCGGGUUAGAUGUCUUGUAUUGUCAGUAAGAAAAGGAUUUGAAUUCCAUUUUUUUUUAAAUCAAAUUAUCUUUAAUGCAUUUGAUUUGGUGUUUUCGUAAAAGAAACUAAAUUAGAAAUGAUAAGGAAAUUACCAAGAGAUUCGUUAGCAUAUUCAGUUUAUGGAAGGGUCAAGAAAUGGAAGAGAGAGAGAGAGAGAGAGAGAGACAAAACCAUAAAAAAAUUUAAAAAAAUGAAAAUUAAACAAGAAAAUGGAAAUAAAACCAAAUUGAAAUUCUAAAAAAAUUGUCUGACACAAUUCUCUGAAUUUUCAACCA
Molecule: unclassified non-coding RNA, 9324 nt
Organism: Bradysia coprophila
Lineage: Eukaryota; Metazoa; Arthropoda; Insecta; Diptera; Sciaridae
Source: RefSeq, a predicted model, not a curated record